Long non-coding RNA from Homo sapiens (human), 1576 nucleotides. RefSeq lists it as uncharacterized. The record is from RefSeq and is a predicted model, not a curated record. NCBI's taxonomy places the organism in Eukaryota, Metazoa, Chordata, Mammalia, Primates, Hominidae. The transcript is spliced from 2 exons.
CCUCGGCCUCCCGAAGUACUGGCAUUAUGGGCAUGAGCCACAGCGCCGAGCCCCGAUUUUUUUUUUAAUGCUAAAAGACUAGAUUAAUAAACUGUGAUCCUUGUUUAUAACAAGUGCUAGAAAUAGGACACAGAAAAUUGGAGUUGAGUUAAUUUCAGAGCUUAACCAGGCAAACAGGUGAAGCCAGUGGUGAUGUGCUUGCUCAAGACAAAAAUAGCCUGGAUGGUGGUGGUGAUGAUAUAAUUUCUAACUGACGAAGGUUCUUUGGAGGGUUGUAAACAAGUGGGAUACAAAGCAACUGCUAAAUGCAAUAUUUUUAACUUUUUAAACUCCUUUGCUAGAGUUCUACAUUUUAAACUAUAAAAAUGAAGUCACUGUGGUACUAAUGUGUUAUCUUUUUGUGGGUAGGCAGUUAACUUAGAGAAAGGAAAUAAAGGGUAAAGAUGUACAGUACUUCUCUAAAGAAGGAACACUUCCUUAGUGAUCAGUGCUGGGGCAGAUUUUAUUUUGUGUUUUUCUAUGAAGGUAAGAUCUCCAGAUUGGCUGGUGGCAGCAGAUUACUUUGGGGAAAGAGCUCUGGAUUGGUUACCAGCCUAAUGUGCAUUCAGGUACCGGUUCCACCUUGCUCCCUGAUUUGGGCAAGCUAUUUCACCUUUCUGAGCCUCUGUGUCCUCUACAUAAGGGGAUGAUACCCCCUACCUCAUAGUUAGGAAGGAAAAGUAGUAUCUCUUGUGUAGAGUGUGGCUUGCCAUACAGCAGGUAUUAGCACACAUUGGUCCAGGAUGCCUUUAAGUAUGGAAAACUGAGAGAGAUGGAGACUCUCCCUAUGGGAGAGAGAGAGAGUGUGUGUGUGUGUGUUUGUUUGAAAAGAAAGGAAUAUGAGAGUUGGAAGUUCCUAAAGGAUGUCAGCCAGGUUUGCUCUUUUUACCAAAAAGGCUUUGAGUACAAAACCAUGCAUCAUUCCACCUUUAUGUAAAACUGUAUGCGCCUCAUCAGGAAUACUCUAUGGACUUCAGAUCAUGCUUUCAAAGGGAUCUCUUAGAAUUGGCCAAGAUCCAGAAAAGGGAACUGAGUCAGACAAAAGAGCAGGACUCUUCAAUGUGGAAAAGCAAAGACUGAAGGAAUCACGGGAUCAGGAGGAGAGGGCCAGACCUUCCUAAUCAGGUGUCCUGGUGAGAGGAGGACUUCUUUAUACGGAUUCGGCUCCCUGAGCGAGAUGGCCAAGACAAAACUGCCCACGUAAUUUUUGUAUUUUCAUGGAAAUACGAAGGGGAUAUAAUUUCAGCAAAACCCUGCCAGCUUCACUUGGUGACUACAACCAAAGAUUAUGUGUCAAGUGCACGAGGGUCCCUCUCUGACAGGUCUGAUUAGUGGUGACCCCCCCAUCAGAGUAGAGACAGAGCUCACGGUUUAAAAGUUUCAUCGGGGCCAGGCGUGAUGGCUCACACCCGUAAUCCCAACACUUCAAGAGGCAGAGGCAGAAGCAUCACUCAAGCCUAAGAGUUCAAGGCCAGCCUGGGUAACAUGGCAAGACCCAUCUCUACAAAAAAUUUAAAAAUAAAAAAUUUAAAGCUAC